UACGGAGGGGGCUAGCGUUGUUCGGAAUUACUGGGCGUAAAGCGUACGUAGGCGGGUUUGUAAGUUAGAGGUGAAAGACCGGAGCUCAACUUCGGAAGUGCCUUUAAGACUGCAUUACUUGAACGUCGGAGAGGUGAGUGGAAUUCCGAGUGUAGAGGUGAAAUUCGUAGAUAUUCGGAAGAACACCAGUGGCGAAGGCGGCUCACUGGACGACUGUUGACGCUGAGGUACGAAAGUGUGGGGAGCAAACAGG
This 253-nucleotide ribosomal RNA is filed under the name uncultured bacterium. RNAcentral describes it as "partial 16S ribosomal RNA". It matches the Rfam family "Bacterial small subunit ribosomal RNA", at positions 524 to 776 of the family's 1533-position model. The record is from RNAcentral.